Molecule: ribosomal RNA, 497 nt
Filed under: uncultured bacterium
Lineage: Bacteria
Description: partial 16S ribosomal RNA
Rfam family: Bacterial small subunit ribosomal RNA
Source: RNAcentral
GAUGAACGCUGGCGGCGUGCCUAAUACAUGCAAGUCGAGCGAACGGACGAGAAGCUUGCUUCUCUGAUGUUAGCGGCGGACGGGUGAGUAACACGUGGAUAACCUACCUAUAAGACUGGGAUAACUUCGGGAAACCGGAGCUAAUACCGGAUAAUAUUUUGAACCGCAUGGUUCAAAAGUGAAAGACGGUCUUGCUGUCACUUAUAGAUGGAUCCGCGCUGCAUUAGCUAGUUGGUAAGGUAACGGCUUACCAAGGCAACGAUGCAUAGCCGACCUGAGAGGGUGAUCGGCCACACUGGAACUGAGACACGGUCCAGACUCCUACGGGAGGCAGCAGUAGGGCAUCUUCCGCAAUGGGCGAAAGCCUGACGGAGCAACGCCGCGUGAGUGAUGAAGGUCUUCGGAUCGUAAAACUCUGUUAUUAGGGAAGAACAUAUGUGUAAGUAACUGUGCACAUCUUGACGGUACCUAAUCAGAAAGCCACGGCUAACUACGUG